AAUUGUGGUGGUUUUCUUUCUGGCACAUUUGUUAAGUUUUCAAAUGGGCCUAACUCUGCCACAUAUAUUACAGUGGAGCUGGCAAAGGCUUGGUGACAAAGAGAUCUCUCUUAAGCCUUUUCUGCAUCAGAGAUUGGCUCCCACAUGU
Molecule: small nucleolar RNA, 148 nt
Organism: Microcebus murinus (gray mouse lemur)
Lineage: Eukaryota; Metazoa; Chordata; Mammalia; Primates; Cheirogaleidae
Gene: SNORA12
Product: small nucleolar RNA, H/ACA box 12
Source: Ensembl